This 500-nucleotide ribosomal RNA is filed under the name uncultured Glomeromycotina. RNAcentral's name for it is "partial small subunit ribosomal RNA". It matches the Rfam family "Eukaryotic small subunit ribosomal RNA", at positions 591 to 1092 of the family's 1831-position model. The record is from RNAcentral. Lineage: Eukaryota; Fungi; Glomeromycota.
CCAAUAGCGUAUAUUAAAGUUGUUGCAGUUAAAAAGCUCGUAGUUGAAUUUCGGGGCCAGUAGGUUGGUCGUGCCACUGGUAUGCACUGGCCUUACUGGUCCCUCCCUCUUGUAGCACCGUGAUGCCAUUAAUUUGGUGUUGCGGGGAAACAGGACUGUUACUUUGAAAAAAUUAGAGUGCUUAAAGCAGGCUCGCGCUUGAAUACAUUAGCAUGGAAUAACGGAAUAGGACGAUCGAACCUAUUUUGUUGGUUUCUAGGAUCGACGUAAUGAUUAAUAGGGAUAGUUGGGGGCAUUAGUAUUCAAUUGUCAGAGGUGAAAUUCUUGGAUUUAUUGAAGACUAACUACUGCGAAAGCAUUUGCCAAGGAUGUUUUCAUUAAUCAAGAACGAAAGUUAGGGGAUCGAAGACGAUCAGAUACCGUCGUAGUCUUAACCAUAAACUAUGCCGACUAGGGAUCGGAUGAAGUUAAUUUUUUAAUGACUCAUUCGGCGCCUUACG